This 426-nucleotide ribosomal RNA is filed under the name uncultured Chlamydiae bacterium. RNAcentral describes it as "bacterial SSU rRNA". It matches the Rfam family "Bacterial small subunit ribosomal RNA", at positions 958 to 1385 of the family's 1533-position model. The record is from RNAcentral. Lineage: Bacteria; Pseudomonadati; Chlamydiota; Chlamydiia.
AACGCGAAGAACCUUACCCAGGCUCGAAAUGCAGGUGGCGAUACCAGAGAUGGUAUUUUCCGUAAGGACGCCUGUAUAGGUGCUGCAUGGCUGUCGUCAGCUCGUGCCGUGAGGUGUUGGGUUAAGUCCCGCAACGAGCGCAACCCUUAUCAUUAGUUGCCAACACGCAAGGUGGGGACUCUAAUGAGACUGCCUAGGUUAACUAGGAGGAAGGUGAGGAUGACGUCAAGUCCGCAUGGCCUUUAUGUCUGGGGCUACACACGUGCUACAAUGGUCGGUACAGAAGGCAGCAAGACCGUGAGGUGGAGCAAAUCCGUAAAACCGAUCUCAGUUCAGAUUGUAGUCUGCAACUCGACUACAUGAAGCUGGAAUUGCUAGUAAUGACGUGUCAGCAACAACGUCGUGAAUACGUUCCCGGGCCUUGUA